Molecule: transfer RNA, 77 nt
Filed under: Eubacteriales Family XIII. Incertae Sedis bacterium
Lineage: Bacteria; Bacillati; Bacillota; Clostridia; Peptostreptococcales; Anaerovoracaceae
Description: tRNA-Val
Rfam family: tRNA
About the family: Transfer RNA (tRNA) molecules are approximately 80 nucleotides in length. Their secondary structure includes four short double-helical elements and three loops (D, anti-codon, and T loops).
Source: RNAcentral
GGAGGCGUAGCUCAGCUGGUUAGAGUGCCUGCUCGACAAGCAGGAAGUCGCUGGUUCAACUCCAGCCGUCUCCACCA